GGCUCCAUUGUGUAGUGGUUAGCACGUCUGCUUUACACACAGAAAGUCCUGGGUUUGUGCCCCAAGUGGAGCCA
Pteropus alecto (black flying fox) is the source of this 74-nucleotide non-coding RNA. The record is from Rfam. Lineage: Eukaryota; Metazoa; Chordata; Mammalia; Chiroptera; Pteropodidae.